AUUGAACGCUGGCGGCAGGCCUAACACAUGCAAGUCGAACGGUAACAGGAAGAAGCUUACUUCUUUGCUGACGAGUGGCGGACGGGUGAGUAAUGUCUGGGAAACUGCCUGAUGGAGGGGGAUAACUACUGGAAACGGUAGCUAAUACCGCAUAACGUCGCAAGACCAAAGAGGGGGACCUUCGGGCCUCUUGCCAUCGGAUGUGCCCAGAUGGGAUUAGCUAGUAGGUGGGGUAACGGCUCACCUAGGCGACGAUCCCUAGCUGGUCUGAGAGGAUGACCAGCCACACUGGAACUGAGACACGGUCCAGACUCCUACGGGAGGCAGCAGUGGGGAAUAUUGCACAAUGGGCGCAAGCCUGAUGCAGCCAUGCCGCGUGUAUGAAGAAGGCCUUCGGGUUGUAAAGUACUUUCAGCGGGGAGGAAGGGAGUAAAGUUAAUACCUUUGCUCAUUGACGUUACCCGCAGAAGAAGCACCGGCUAACUCCGUG
Molecule: ribosomal RNA, 490 nt
Filed under: uncultured bacterium
Lineage: Bacteria
Description: partial 16S ribosomal RNA
Rfam family: Bacterial small subunit ribosomal RNA
Source: RNAcentral